AGUGAACGCUGGCGGUAGGCCUAACACAUGCAAGUCGAACGGCAGCACAGUAAGAGCUUGCUCUUACGGGUGGCGAGUGGCGGACGGGUGAGGGAUACAUCGGAAUCUACUUUUUCGUGGGGGAUAACGUAGGGAAACUUACGCUAAUACCGCAUACGACCUACGGGUGAAAGCAGGGGAUCUUCGGACCUUGCGCGAUUGAAUGAGCCGAUGUCGGAUUAGCUAGUUGGCGGGGUAAAGGCCCACCAAGGCGACGAUCCGUAGCUGGUCUGAGAGGAUGAUCAGCCACACUGGAACUGAGACACGGUCCAGACUCCUACGGGAGGCAGCAGUUGGGAAUAUUGGACAAUGGGCGCAAGCCUGAUCCAGCCAUACCGCGUGGGUGAAGAAGGCCUUCGGGUUGUAAAGCCCUUUUGUUGGGAAAGAAAAGCAGCAGGUUAAUACCCCGCUGUUCUGACGGUACCCAAAGAAUAAGCACCGGCUAACUUCGUG
Molecule: ribosomal RNA, 492 nt
Filed under: uncultured bacterium
Lineage: Bacteria
Description: partial 16S ribosomal RNA
Rfam family: Bacterial small subunit ribosomal RNA
Source: RNAcentral